UAAAAACAACAAUUAUUAAAUUAAAUUAUUACAUUGUAUUAUACCUGUUAGAAACUGUUUAAUCUUGAGUGUUUAUUUAAAACAAAUAUCAAGGACUUUUGAUUCUUUGUGGAGUGAUUUUUGAUUUUGCAGGGGGAAACUUAGAUGCAUUUAUUGAUUAAAAGAUCUGUUCAACUGGGAAGAAUUUCAAGCAGAACAACUUCACCAAGAUGUUAUGUAGCAUUUCUAGUUGGAAGUCCAGCAAUUUCAAUUACAGACAGGAAGAGAAGUUUACUUAUGAUAAUAACACAAAA
Molecule: long non-coding RNA, 293 nt
Filed under: Mytilus galloprovincialis (Mediterranean mussel)
Lineage: Eukaryota; Metazoa; Mollusca; Bivalvia; Mytilida; Mytilidae
Source: RNAcentral